AACGCCCCUUCGGGGGAGUGGCGGACGGGUGAGUAACGCGUGGGAAUGUGCCCUUUGGUACGGAACAACUGAGGGAAACUUCAGCUAAUACCGUAUGUGCCCUACGGGGGAAAGAUUUAUCGCCAUUGGAGCAGCCCGCGUUGGAUUAGGUAGUUGGUGGGGUAAAAGCCUACCAAGCCGACGAUCCAUAGCUGGUCUGAGAGGAUGAUCAGCCACACUGGGACUGAGACACGGCCCAGACUCCUACGGGAGGCAGCAGUGGGGAAUCUUGCGCAAUGGGCGAAAGCCUGACGCAGCCAUGCCGCGUGUAUGAUGAAGGUCUUAGGAUUGUAAAAUACUUUCACCGGGGAAGAUAAUGACGGUACCCGGAGAAGAAGCCCCGGCUAACUUCGUGCCAGCAGCCGCGGUAAUACGAAGGGGGCUAGCGUUGCUCGGAAUUACUGGGCGUAAAGGGCGCGUAGGCGGACAGUUUAGUCAGAGGUGAAAGCCCAGGGCUCAACCUUGGAAUUGCCUUUGAUACUGGCUGUCUUGAGUUCGGGAGAGGUGAGUGGAAUGCCGAGUGUAGAGGUGAAAUUCGUAGAUAUUCGGCGGAACACCAGUGGCGAAGGCGACUCACUGGCCCGAUACUGACGCUGA
This 636-nucleotide ribosomal RNA is filed under the name Phenylobacterium sp. RNAcentral describes it as "bacterial SSU rRNA". It matches the Rfam family "Bacterial small subunit ribosomal RNA", at positions 65 to 749 of the family's 1533-position model. The record is from RNAcentral. Lineage: Bacteria; Pseudomonadati; Pseudomonadota; Alphaproteobacteria; Caulobacterales; Caulobacteraceae.